This 497-nucleotide ribosomal RNA is filed under the name uncultured bacterium. RNAcentral's name for it is "partial 16S ribosomal RNA". It matches the Rfam family "Bacterial small subunit ribosomal RNA", at positions 28 to 507 of the family's 1533-position model. The record is from RNAcentral.
GAUGAACGCUGGCGGCGUGCCUAACACAUGCAAGUCGAGCGAACGGACGAGAAGCUCGCUUCUCUGCUGUUAGCGGCGGACGGGUGAGUAACACGUGGAUAACCUACCUAUAAGACUGGGAUAACUUCGGGAAACCGGAGCCCAUACCGGAUAAUAUUUUGAACCGCAUGGUUCAAAAGUGAAAGGUCGUCUUGCUGUCCCUUAUACAUGGUUCCGCGCUGCAUUAGCUAGUUGGUACGGUAACGGCUUACCAAGGCAACGAUGCAUAGCCGACCUGAGAGGGUGAUCAGCCACACUGGAACUGAGACACGGUCCAGACUCCUACGGGAGGCAGCAGUAGGGAAUCUUCCGCAAUGGGCGAAAGCCUGACGGAGCAACGCCGGGUGAGUGAUGAAGGUCUUCGGAUCGUAAAGCUCUGUAAGUAGGGAGGAACAUAAGUGUGAGUAUCUGUGCAGAUCUUGACGGUACCUAAUGAGAAAGCCACGGCUAACUACGUG